Molecule: ribosomal RNA, 227 nt
Filed under: Lateriporus aecophylus
Lineage: Eukaryota; Metazoa; Platyhelminthes; Cestoda; Cyclophyllidea; Dilepididae
Description: partial small subunit ribosomal RNA
Source: RNAcentral
CUUAUUUUAUGCUGGUGUAUAUCUGGUUUAAUAUUAUUGUUUAGUAACCUUUAAUUUGUGUAUAAUUAUAAUUUAAGCUAAGUCUAUGUGCUGCAUAUUUAAGUUUUCAUGCGUUACAAUAAUAAUACUUAUAAGUGUAAUCUAUAAGAAUUUAGGACUUGAUAGUAAUAUAAAAUUAGUUUGUAGAUGUGAAUCAGGUUUAGCUUGGGUACACACCGCCCGUCACA